CGAUUCAAGCGGUACAACCCUGGGCAGAAGUUGAACUUAAACUUCAUUGCCGACCCUCCUCCUCUACCAGAAGGGAUUACCGAGGAGAUGAUUGAAGAUUACGAGGGGGAGGACGCCGCCGAAGGCUCUGGAUCCGCCGAGGCUGCUGCUGGUGACGAAGCCUGAGGGCCUCCUUUGAUUUGCUUGUAAUAGUUAGUUUUUUUUUUUUAUUUGUAUGCACCGAACACCUUGAUGCCGAGGGCAUCUCUAAUUUAAAUGCGUAUUUUUCUCUACUUAUGUUUGUUCGAUCUGAUUUUGUUCAAUUGCCGAUUUUUCUUAUUGCCGUAUAGGAUUUAUGACGUUAUAAAGGUCACUUCGAAAUUGUCAAGUUCCGAC
Molecule: long non-coding RNA, 375 nt
Filed under: Prunus persica (peach)
Lineage: Eukaryota; Viridiplantae; Streptophyta; Magnoliopsida; Rosales; Rosaceae
Description: long non-coding RNA (PPER_LNC001962)
Source: RNAcentral